RNAcentral lists this unclassified non-coding RNA (268 nucleotides) under fungal sp. Its description in RNAcentral is "partial internal transcribed spacer region". The stretch from base 1 to 46 matches the Rfam family "Eukaryotic small subunit ribosomal RNA", at positions 1786 to 1831 of the family's 1831-position model. The record is from RNAcentral. Lineage: Eukaryota; Fungi.
AAGUCGUAACAAGGUCAUCGUAGGUGAACCUGCGGUGGGAUCAUCACCAAAUUUUAAAAUUUGUGUAGGUACUAUUUCUAUAUAAUUUAUAUAGAGUAGCCUAUACUAAUCGUGUGAAUGAAAAAACCUUUUUCUCUUUGUGGGGCUUUUUUGUAAAAGAUUGCCCCUAAAGUUAAUACUAAACACUAUAAAAUUUCCGUAUAAACUCUAUGGACUUUUAAACUAAAAAAUUAUAUAACAACUAUCAAUGGUGGAUCACUUGGCUCUU